GACGAACCGUGCGAACGUUGUUCGGAAUCACUGGGCUUAAAGGGCGCGUAGGCGGACCAUCAAGUCAGGGGUGAAAUACUUCGGCUUAACCGGAGAAGGGCUUUUGAUACUGGUGGUCUCGAGUGGUGUAGGGGCAUGUGGAACUUCCGGUGGAGCGGUGAAAUGCGUAGAUAUCGGAAGGAACGCCGGUGGCGAAAGCGACGUGCUGGACACCUUCUGACGCUGAGGCGCGAAAGCCAGGGGAGCAAACGGG
RNAcentral lists this ribosomal RNA (253 nucleotides) under uncultured bacterium. RNAcentral's name for it is "partial 16S ribosomal RNA". It matches the Rfam family "Bacterial small subunit ribosomal RNA", at positions 524 to 776 of the family's 1533-position model. The record is from RNAcentral.